Mugil cephalus (flathead mullet) is the source of this 3206-nucleotide RNA transcript. It is a transcript of the gene named glycosyltransferase 1 domain containing 1, with no coding region annotated. The transcript has 14 exons. The record is from RefSeq and is a predicted model, not a curated record. NCBI's taxonomy places the organism in Eukaryota, Metazoa, Chordata, Actinopteri, Mugiliformes, Mugilidae.
ACGACCGGGAGAAGGAAGUGGAACUGCGGUUUCCUUUUAAAAAAAAUGUGUACUUUUACCGCUGAUUCUGGCGUUACAGAAUUAUCAAAAUGCAUGGGUGUGCUUUGAGCUGUGUGCGUUUCUUUUUUUAAUUCGAUCUUUAACGCUCGUUCAUUUAAGUGAUCGAUCAUUUGCCUGUCAGAGUUCCACCGCUGUGUUUCCAGGGGAUCGUAUAGGAGACGGACUUGUAAACAUUUGCAACAUGUUGCGCUGUCUAGAUGAGCUGGCCUUGCUGCUGCCAGACGUGAAAGCUACGGGCAUGAGUUUAGGAAAUGUGAUAGGAGUUCGGUUUAGCGAGGUUACCUGAACACACAGCUCCUGCCUGUGGUAUUAGCCCUUCUAGUUUUUUACUGAUACUUGUGUGUUAAUGUGCUAAUUAAGUCGACAGAACAGCAUUUAGUGGAGAUAUGAAAUUACUCUUUCUUGCUCCACUCAGCCCUAAAACCGGGAACCACACUACAGCUGAGAGAAUAAGGUCCCACAUUGAAUUAGCAGGACACACUUGCGAGCUCAGAGAUGCUGGAGAAUUCCAGUCUCCUGCUGAUGUGGCCGAUCUGUUAUCAGGAAAUCCUUCAUUUCAGGCUGCACUGGCCAUUCAUCUGUUCAAAGCAGGCAGACUUCUCUUAGACGUCCAAGUGCCCUUUGGCGUCAUCUUUGGCGGAACAGACAUAAAUGAAGAUGUGAAAGUUGAGCAGAAGCGUGUGGUUAUGGAGCAGGUGCUGCUGAGAGCCAGGUUUGCUGUUGCAUUUACUGACAAACUGAAAGAAGAGGCAGAAAUAUUUUUGGUGCCCCAGAGCAGUAAAAUCUUUGUCCAACCCCAAGGAAUUCAGACAGAAGUGACUGAAACAUUCUGCUGGACUGAAUUCUUGAGGAGCUCAGGUGUAAGGAGUAAGAACGUGGAUGAGCUGCGUGUCUUCCUAUUGGUCUGUGGCCUCAGAAGAGUCAAGGACCCCCUCUAUUUGGUGGAGGAUUUUUCAGAGUGGCAUUGUGAGAAUAUGCAGAACAUAUUGGUCAUUAUCGGGCCAAAGAUUGAUCCUGUGUUUACCGCUGAAGUGGAAGCUGUUGUUAAAAGAACAGCAGGGGUCUUCUUGGCCCAAGAGAUGAGCCAACAGGAGCUUCAUGCUGCCAUGAAAAGGUGCUUCGCCGUGGUCAACAGCUCUGUCUCAGAGGGCAUGUCAGCAGCCAUCUUGGAGGCCAUGGAUCUCAGGGUACCUGUGGUGGCCAGGGAUAUUCCAGGAAAUGCAGCUGUGGUGCAGCAUGAGGUCACUGGCCUGCUGUACUCUUCUCCUCAGAUUCCAACUAGUAACUUGGGCCAGUGUUAAUCAAAGCAGUAGUUUGGAUUACCUGGACGGUAGUGGUCCCAAGGUCUCGCCCUGAAAGCACCCUUCCUGCUUGUAGUCUUGCCACCCGUGGGUCCUCCACCUUCAUGAAGUAUCGAACCAACCUUGUGACAUCCACCUGCCAAUCAGACCCCAGGAAAUAGGCCUUAGGGUCCCGAGGAUCUGCCUGCUCUGCCACGAAAUAGCUAAAAACACUGACUGGAAAGUUGUGGGAGUUUGCCAUUACAUGCAGUGGACGUAUUGAGUAGCAGCAGUGGCGGGAGUUCAUUGAGCAAGGCUAAGAGCGAUCAGUCAGCACUAAUGUCCCCUUGAGCCAACCAUCAAAUCUCCUCGUGUUUGGCCUUCUGCCUGAGCUCCCCUUGUGGAAAAAGAAAUAAAUAAAACCCCCUUGCGACUGGAAGAGGCGUUUUUCUUCUGAGCGGUUGGGAGAGCGAACCAGUGUCCGUGGGUUUAGUUAGCAGGCCCCAAGGAGGCAGCGGGGCAGGGGGAGGCAACGGGGCACAGAAGAUGGAUGGCUGCGGAGACCCAAGCUGACACUGUGUGAGAAAUUCAGCGCUCAGGUGCUGCACCUGCUAUCCAUCUCACUUCUGACCAGGCCGGGCGUGAGUGGCACCUUUCACCUUUUACGCACUCUUCAUCCACUCGCACGCUCGUGCAUGCACGCAAAAAAAAAAUGUUACCACAUAAGAGAACGUACACAAAUACACUCAAAGCAGACCUCAAUGGAGUACUCCUUAAAGUUAGAUUGACUGAUCACAGAGACACGGCCAGCGCAGAAAAUAAAACAAAGAAACUAUUUAAGCCUGGUCCACAUAUAUUACGUCACCAAGGCUGCUAUUGAGAUGCUACAGAGGGUUUGUAAUUGCAUCCCUGAUACAAUUUGUGGUCCCGUCUUUACCUUUGUGAAAGCAUCACUGCAGGGCCUCGGCACCACCAGUGAAUCCAGUGCAAUCAGAAACAGAUGCAGUCGUUAAUUAUGCAGGCAAAUGUCCACCGUUUAGCCAGUCUGAUGGCCAGCCAUCGGCAACGUGCUUAUCGUACUUAUGGAGCAGUUUAGGGAGUUGGGGAAACAUUCACGCCAACACUCCUGCCAGAUGGCAGGCGCCACAGCGCUAAAAAAAGGAUGUAAAAGCCCUAUUUGUCACACAGAUGAAUGAUUAGGCUCCCUGGUUGAAAAGCUCACUGACACGGUGUCCUGUAGAUGCAGAAGCUCAAUGUUAAUUUGCUGCCCCUAUGCUGCCUUUAAGUUAAUCCCUCAGAACGAGGCAAACUACUGUGCCUCAUCGCUCAAAAUUAAUGGCUUCUAAAAAAAAAACAACACAAAAAAAAAACAUACGUGCCACUCAAGUUCCUGAGGUCUAAUUGUCCUUCCUGUGGCAGUGAUAACGGCAGCACAAUGUGUUUUUCUAUGACCUUUAUCAAAGUCUCAGGGAGAACGACAGCUUCGUUUUAUUGAAACGGACAGGUGUGGCUUGUCUUUUUCUCAGCUGACCUCAAAUUUGUACGUCUCCUGACUCUAGCUAUACACAUCAAUUACAGGUUUAUCAUGCUGAUGUUAAGAGUAUUAAGCAAAGCCUAAUGAAACAUUCAGACAGUGAUAAAGCGCGUAGACAGCUGUUGAGAAGCAGAUGCACCGCGCCUGUUAAUGUGCUGAUAAGCCGGGGAAGGGCGACACUCCGCUACUGCCUAUGUCACUUAAAGGAACAGCGAGUAUAUGAUGUUUAUGGGAUACGAACUGUAUAAAUGUCAUUACCCAUCACAAGUUUAAAUACUAACAAGCUUCCUAGAAAGAAAGAAAGAAAGAAAGAAAGAAAGAAAGAAAGAAAG